Zalophus californianus (California sea lion) is the source of this 1824-nucleotide long non-coding RNA. RefSeq lists it as uncharacterized. The record is from RefSeq and is a predicted model, not a curated record. NCBI's taxonomy places the organism in Eukaryota, Metazoa, Chordata, Mammalia, Carnivora, Otariidae. The transcript is spliced from 3 exons.
CCAUCAGCCUGGAAUAAGAGCAGACUCCCCAGGGGCCAUGGUUAUCUGGACACUCGGCACCCUUGACCAACCCAGACAAUGCAGAGGUGGAUUGGGGCCUGCCAAAGCCUCACAGUGGAAACCUCCAACAGAGCUCCACUGUUUCUUGUUUGGGAGAAAACCUGCUUUUCUAGGGUGGAUCUGGGGACCUGCCUCCGGAGACGCCACGCUGAUCUCAGCAGGAACGUCAGGAGGCACCCAAGUCCCACACGCCACGGCUGGAGCUUACAGCAGCAAACCACAGAGACUGAGCAGGAAGCAAGCACCGGAAGGGUCGGCGAUGCCCCCGCUGGGGGCCGAGGCAGGGCAGAGACGCAGGGAGAGAGCACAGGCCGGGCGGAGGGGUUGCACCAAGCAGGAGUCAGAAUUAAGGGCAUGGAGUCCCAGACUCCAUGCAAAUGGACACAGAGCAUCCGUGUCAUUUGCCCACCACCAGGCAGGUGGCUUUUUUGUGGAAUACUGUCUACAACAAUGGGAGAGAAGGCGGCACAGCACACUUGUCCACAGAUACUCACGUGGCACUUUCUGUGGCCUAAAGACACCCCCUCAGGACAGAUAGCCCUCCACCUUGGUCCGCAGGUGCGAAAGACGGUGUCCUUGAAAUGAAAAGGAGACACACGUGCCCAGAAGGAAGUAACCCAAGGGGGAGCUGGGCAUGGAAGGCCCAGGAGGCCAGGGUGUCUGGACUUGGGGGACACAAGCCCCUCCACCAUGACCCUGCAUGCUGGAGGCUCAGCUCUCAAGGAGGGCAGAUGGCCACCCAGCAGAGUUGAAAACACUUGGAAGUGAAAGGUGAAGAGGAACGAGAAGUCUGGGGAUGAUAUCUCAUAUGAACUCUAUUUCCUUCUUUUCUGUGUUCUUAUUCUGGCAUCUGGAUCCUCACCAACCAAGGAGAGACUGCCCCUCCCAGGCCAGCCAAUUCUUAGCCUUUCAUAUGCAAAGAAACCAAUCCAGAGCCCAGAUGCAGAACCCCCUCCCCUCCCCUGCCCGGUUCUUGCACUCAGAAGGCACCAUCCCCCUGCCCUAGCUAACCAUCCCAGGGCCAGGGACCAGACAGCCAGAGACAGCUCGACACCCCGCAGCCUGCCGCAACUGUCCAAGUCCGCCAAUUCCAAACCUGCUGACCCUGCCUGGCUUUGCCUUUCCCAUGGAAACCACCAUAAAGGUUCCUGACCAUCCCCUCCCCUCAACCAGAUAGCCUUCUGUCUCCUGAUCCACCUUGGUGCUGCCCCGUGUGACUCCCCACGGUGUGCCAUGGCCCUGUUGGGAACCAACCGUUCAUGGCAGCAUCCCCUGACUUGUCUGUUGGCCUCAGUGAACCUGAACAAUAAUAAAACCUACGUAUGAAAACACAUCUCCCCAUCAUCUACGUAUUUCCCGGUUUCCUUCUGUGCUCUGGACCAGCAGACACGAAAAGAUUUCUCAAUAUAUAUACACACAAUAAACUGUCACCAUAAAACCUUCCCGGGAAACAUGCAUUCAUUCCAACUAACAGAGAGUUUCUCAGAAACCCCUGAUGAAGGGCACCCAAACUGAAGUGGUUUCCCAAGGCCUUCACUUUCCCGGGUACUGAGUGCAGAGAAAGACAACCGGCGCCAAGCUAGCCAUUUGGAGCUCAGGGGUCCUGCUUUCUGGUGGGUCCAGCCUCGCCUCCCAGCAAAGCUGAGUUUCUAAGAGGAAGGGGCUAUACCUGAUUUGGUUUAUAGAUACGAAAACUAUAGGGAGGCUGAACAUAGGCUGAGGGAGUCCUAGGGGUUUUAUCACUUAUUUGCUGUUCUUGAUGAA